This 140-nucleotide ribosomal RNA is filed under the name Drosophila virilis. Its description in RNAcentral is "5.8S ribosomal RNA". It matches the Rfam family "5.8S ribosomal RNA", at positions 40 to 154 of the family's 154-position model. From Rfam's summary of the family: 5.8S ribosomal RNA (5.8S rRNA) is a component of the large subunit of the eukaryotic ribosome. It is transcribed by RNA polymerase I as part of the 45S precursor that also contains 18S and 28S rRNA. Functionally, it is thought that 5.8S rRNA may be involved in ribosome translocation. Lineage: Eukaryota; Metazoa; Arthropoda; Insecta; Diptera; Drosophilidae. The record is from Rfam by way of RNAcentral.
AGAACGCAGCAAACUGUGCGUCAUCGUGUGAACUUCAGGACACAUGAACAUCGACAUUUUGAACGCAUAUCGCAGUCCAUGCUGUUUUGUCCUUUAAUUAAUUUUAUAGUGCUGCUUGGACUACAUAUGGUUGAGGGUUG